CCUACGGGGGGCCGCAGUGGGGAAUAUUGGACAAUGGGCGAAAGCCUGAUCCAGCCAUGCCGCGUGUGUGAAGAAGGCCUUCGGGUUGUAAAGCACUUUCAGUGGGGAAGAAAGCCUUGGGGCUAAUACCCUCGAGGAAGGACAUCACCCACAGAAGAAGCACCGGCUAACUCCGUGCCAGCAGCCGCGGUAAUACGGAGGGUGCGAGCGUUAAUCGGAAUUACUGGGCGUAAAGCGCGCGUAGGCGGUCUGAUAAGCCGGUUGUGAAAGCCCCGGGCUCAACCUGGGAACGGCAUCCGGAACUGUCAGGCUAGAGUGCAGGAGAGGAAGGUAGAAUUCCCGGUGUAGCGGUGAAAUGCGUAGAGAUCGGGAGGAAUACCAGUGGCGAAGGCGGCCUUCUGGACUGACACUGACGCUGAGGUGCGAAAGCGUGGGUAGCAAACAGGAUUAGAUACCCUGUAGUC
Molecule: ribosomal RNA, 464 nt
Filed under: Vreelandella stevensii
Lineage: Bacteria; Pseudomonadati; Pseudomonadota; Gammaproteobacteria; Oceanospirillales; Halomonadaceae
Description: partial 16S ribosomal RNA
Rfam family: Bacterial small subunit ribosomal RNA
Source: RNAcentral